UGGGAUGAUCACGGAGCCCUGAUGGGCAACGAAGGCCCUCGUCUAUGAAUAUUUUUACAAACGCUCAAAGUAUGACAGAAUGUAUAUCAUAUUGCGUCUGAUAAACGUGACAAAUACAACUUUCAACAACGGAUCUCUUGGCUCUCGCAUCGAUGAAGAACGCAGCGAAAUGCGAUAAGUAAUGUGAAUUGCAGAAUUCAGUGAAUCAUCGAAUCUUUGAACGCACCUUGCGCUCCUUGGUAUUCCGAGGAGCAUGCCUGUUUGAGUGUCAUGAAAUUCUCAACUGCCCCAGGCUUUGUGGCCUGCGGGUGAAGUUGGACUUGGAGGUAUGCUGGCGUAUGAAUGGGCUUUUGUGCCCCGUCUCGCUUGUUGGCUCCUCUUGAAUGCAUGAGCUUUCCAAUCCUUGGCAAAGUAUCGUCGAUGUGAUAAUUGUCUACGUCGCCUGAGAAAGCCGAAAAGGGGAAAUCUUUGAUCACGCUGGGGUGACCUGCGUCUGACAAAUUCGACCUCAAAUCAGGUAGGACUACCCGCUGAACUUAAGCAUAUCAAUAAGCGGAGGAAAAGAAACUAACAAGGAUUCCCCUAGUAACUGCGAGUGAAGCGGGAAAAGCUCAAAUUUAAAAUCUGGCGGCCUCCGGUCG
Molecule: ribosomal RNA, 641 nt
Filed under: uncultured fungus
Lineage: Eukaryota; Fungi
Description: eukaryotic LSU rRNA
Rfam family: 5.8S ribosomal RNA (bases 118-271)
Source: RNAcentral